This 539-nucleotide ribosomal RNA is filed under the name uncultured bacterium. RNAcentral's name for it is "bacterial SSU rRNA". It matches the Rfam family "Bacterial small subunit ribosomal RNA", at positions 355 to 895 of the family's 1533-position model. The record is from RNAcentral.
UGAGGAAUAUUGGUCAAUGGGCGAGAGCCUGAACCAGCCAAGUAGCGUGCAGGAUGACGGCCCUAUGGGUUGUAAACUGCUUUUGUAUGGGGAUAAAGUCAGUCACGUGUGAUUGUUUGCAGGUACCAUACGAAUAAGGACCGGCUAAUUCCGUGCCAGCAGCCGCGGUAAUACGGAAGGUCCGGGCGUUAUCCGGAUUUAUUGGGUUUAAAGGGAGCGUAGGCUGGAGAUUAAGUGUGUUGUGAAAUGUAGACGCUCAACGUCUGACUUGCAGCGCAUACUGGUUUCCUUGAGUACGCACAACGUUGGCGGAAUUCGUCGUGUAGCGGUGAAAUGCUUAGAUAUGACGAAGAACUCCGAUUGCGAAGGCAGCUGACGGGAGCGCAACUGACGCUGAAGCUCGAAGGUGCGGGUAUCGAACAGGAUUAGAUACCCUGGUAGUCCGCACAGUAAACGAUGGAUGCCCGCUGUUGGUACCUGGUAUCAGCGGCUAAGCGAAAGCAUUAAGCAUCCCACCUGGGGAGUACGCCGGCAACGGU